This 301-nucleotide ribosomal RNA is filed under the name uncultured bacterium. RNAcentral describes it as "partial 16S ribosomal RNA". It matches the Rfam family "Bacterial small subunit ribosomal RNA", at positions 509 to 807 of the family's 1533-position model. The record is from RNAcentral.
CAGUAGCCGCGGGAAUACGAAGGGUGCAAGCGUUAAUCGGAAUUACUGGGCGUAAAGCGCGCGUAGGCGGUUUGUUAAGUCUGUUGUGAAGUCCCCGGGCUCAACCUGGGAAUGGCAAUGGAUACUGGCAAGCUAGAGUGUGUCAGAGGAUGGUGGAAUUCCCGGUGUAGCGGUGAAAUGCGUAGAGAUCGGGAGGAACAUCAGUGGCGAAGGCGGCCAUCUGGGACAACACUGACGCUGAGGCACGAAAGCGUGGGGAGCAAACAGGAUUAGAUACCCCCGUAGUCCCUGUCUCUUAUAC